CGGGACACGUGGUAUCCUGUCUGAAUAUGGGGGGACCAUCCUCCAAGGCUAAAUACUCCUGACUGACCGAUAGUGAACCAGUACCGUGAGGGAAAGGCGAAAAGAACCCCGGCGAGGGGAGUGAAAAAGAACCUGAAACCGUGUACGUACAAGCAGUGGGAGCACGCUUAGGCGUGUGACUGCGUACCUUUUGUAUAAUGGGUCAGCGACUUAUAUUCUGUAGCAAGGUUAACCGAAUAGGGGAGCCGAAGGGAAACCGAGUCUUAACUGGGCGUUAAGUUGCAGGGUAUAGACCCGAAACCCGGUGAUCUAGCCAUGGGCAGGUUGAAGGUUGGGUAACACUAACUGGAGGACCGAACCGACUAAUGUUGAAAAAUUAGCGGAUGACUUGUGGCUGGGGGUGAAAGGCCAAUCAAACCGGGAGAUAGCUGGUUCUCCCCGAAAGCUAUUUAGGU
This 455-nucleotide ribosomal RNA is filed under the name Escherichia coli. Its description in RNAcentral is "partial 23S ribosomal RNA". It matches the Rfam family "Bacterial large subunit ribosomal RNA", at positions 418 to 875 of the family's 2925-position model. Lineage: Bacteria; Pseudomonadati; Pseudomonadota; Gammaproteobacteria; Enterobacterales; Enterobacteriaceae. The record is from RNAcentral.